GCGCUCACUUUAGCAGCACAUAUACUAAAAUUGGAACAAUACAGAGAAGAUGAACAUUGUCCCUGUGCAAAGAUGACACACUAAUUUGUGAAAUGAUCUAUAAAACA
Molecule: small nuclear RNA, 107 nt
Organism: Nomascus leucogenys (northern white-cheeked gibbon)
Lineage: Eukaryota; Metazoa; Chordata; Mammalia; Primates; Hylobatidae
Source: Ensembl